Molecule: long non-coding RNA, 1124 nt
Filed under: Cyanistes caeruleus (blue tit)
Lineage: Eukaryota; Metazoa; Chordata; Aves; Passeriformes; Paridae
Description: lncRNA (ENSCCEG00000003178.1)
Source: RNAcentral
CUGAGAGCACUUGAGACCUGGGAGGACCAAGAAAAAAAGGGGAUUAUAUUGAAAACCUGGUUGGCAGAAGUGAGAUUUGCUCUGCAAUUAUGUGAGGUUCUCAUUGUUCAUAACUCUCAGCAUAACAUACAACUUUUGGAACUGACAUGCCUUAGAAUAAUUAACCUUGAAGGAAGAACAACAGUUUUUACAACUUCAGGCCUGUAGCUGUGAAUGGUUACAUUUGGGAUGCAAGUUUUUCAGUGAGCUUUCAAUUUGCUGGGGAAGGAGAGAGAUGAAUGCCACUUGUGAGAGAUAACUUUGGGUUUCUCAACUAAGAACCAGGGUUAUCAGGUAGAUAUAAAAUAAAAUCACCUCAUCAGCCACAUCACUAACCUCAGCAAAAUCCAACAAUAACCAUUUUAUACCUGGUCACACUCAACCACAAGACAUCUGGCAACCAAACACUUUUGGCCAACAGUAGUAUAGUGGAAGGUGGAGAAGUGGGAAUUUACCUCCUCAGUCAAGACUCUUCCAAGGCUUUAUCUUGGUGAAGUAAACAACUGCAUUUUACUAGUUGUCAUGUACAUCACAAUGAGGUACACAAUUUAUAAUAAUAAAUUAUAUUUAUGAAGUAGGAUCUUAUUAAAUUAUAUUUAGGAAGCAGGACCUGCUCUGGAUUUGUCUUCAGACUUCCCUGUGUGAAGGAACCUUGAAAUAAAUAAUUUCCACUCUGGCAAGCACCUGGUUUAAAACAAAGGUGAAGCCAAUGAAUUAAAUAGUCAAAACACCUGAUUCCUUUUAGGAGGGAGGGAAGCAGUAAAUAAUGUUGCCUUAGAGAAAUUUCUCCCUUGUCAUGCCUUUCCCCUUGCAGUUUGCUGUCACUAAUCACUGUGAGCCAGACUGUGCAUGUGGAAGAAUCCUUCAGACGGAGUCAGUGGGGCUACUCAUCUGUGAGUCAUUCUAAUGAGCAAUACUGAAAGUGCUGACCUGCCCAUCUCAUGCUUCCUAACUGAGACUCCAAGCUAACCUGCAGCCUUGGUGUGCCUCAGGGCUGCCUUUUGGGCAGAGGAGAACCUGGGACGCUGGUUUUACUGCAGACCUUACCAGUGGAAUAAAUGCUGUUGUGGAUGUGUGUGUGCCCA